This 459-nucleotide ribosomal RNA is filed under the name uncultured bacterium. Its description in RNAcentral is "partial 16S ribosomal RNA". It matches the Rfam family "Bacterial small subunit ribosomal RNA", at positions 29 to 523 of the family's 1533-position model. The record is from RNAcentral.
AACGAACGCUGGCGGCAGGCCUAACACAUGCAAGUCGAACGAGAAGCCACCUUCGGGUGGUGGACAGUGGCAGACGGGUGAGUAACGCGUGGGAACGUGCCUUUCGGUUCGGAAUAACCCAGGGAAACUUGGGCUAAUACCGGAUACGCCCUCCGGGGGAAAGAUUCAUCGCCGAAAGAUCGGCCCGCGUCGGAUUAGCUAGUUGGUGGGGUAAUGGCUCACCAAGGCGACGAUCCGUAGCUGGUCUGAGAGGAUGACCAGCCACACUGGGACUGAGACACGGCCCAGACUCCUACGGGAGGCAGCAGUGGGGAAUAUUGGACAAUGGGCGAAAGCCUGAUCCAGCCAUGCCGCGUGGGUGAAGAAGGCCUUAGGGUUGUAAACCCCUUUCGGCGGGGAAGAUAAUGACGGUACCCGCAGAAGAAGUCCCGGCUAACUCCGUGCCAGCAGCCGCCGUAA